GCUUAACACAUGCAAGUCGAGGGGCAGCAUUUCAGUUUGCUUGCAAACUGGAGAUGGCGACCGGCGCACGGGUGAGUAACACGUAUCCAACCUGCCGAUAACUCGGGGAUAGCCUUUCGAAAGAAAGAUUAAUACCCGAUGGUAUAAUCAGACCGCAUGGUCUUGUUAUUAAAGAAUUUCGGUUAUCGAUGGGGAUGCGUUCCAUUAGGCAGUUGGUGAGGUAACGGCUCACCAAACCUUCGAUGGAUAGGGGUUCUGAGAGGAAGGUCCCCCACAUUGGAACUGAGACACGGUCCAAACUCCUACGGGAGGCAGCAGUGAGGAAUAUUGGUCAAUGGGCGCAGGCCUGAACCAGCCAAGUAGCGUGAAGGAUGACUGCCCUAUGGGUUGUAAACUUCUUUUAUAUGGGAAUAAAGUUUUCCACGUGUGGAAUUUUGUAUGUACCAUAUGAAUAAGGAUCGGCUAACUCCGUGCCAGCAGCCGCGGUAAUACGGAGGAUCCGAGCGUUAUCCGGAUUUAUUGGGUUUAAAGGGAGCGUAGGUGGACAGUUAAGUCAGUUGUGAAAGUUUGCGGCUCAACCGUAAAAUUGCAGUUGAUACUGGCUGUCUUGAGUACAGUAGAGGUGGGCGGAAUUCGUGGUGUAGCGGUGAAAUGCCUAGAUAUCACGAAGAACUCCGAUUGCGAAGGCAGCUCACUGGACUGCAACUGACACUGAUGCUCGAAAGUGUGGGUAUCAAACAGGAUUAGAUACCCUGGUAGUCCACACAGUAAACGAUGAAUACUCGCUGUUUGCGAUAUACAGUAAGCGGCCAAGCGAAAGCAUUAAGUAUUCCACCUGGGGAGUACGCCGGCAACGGUGAAACUCAAAGGAAUUGACGGGGGCCCGCACAAGCGGAGGAACAUGUGGUUUAAUUCGAUGAUACGCGAGGAACCUUACCCGGGCUUAAAUUGCAUUUGAAUAUAUUGGAAACAGUAUAGCCGUAAGGCAAAUGUGAAGGUGCUGCAUGGUUGUCGUCAGCUCGUGCCGUGAGGUGUCGGCUUAAGUGCCAUAACGAGCGCAACCCUUAUCUUUAGUUACUAACAGGUCAUGCUGAGGACUCUAGAGAGACUGCCGUCGUAAGAUGUGAGGAAGGUGGGGAUGACGUCAAAUCAGCACGGCCCUUACGUCCGGGGCUACACACGUGUUACAAUGGGGGGUACAGAAGGCAGCUACCUGGUGACAGGAUGCUAAUCCCAAAAGCCUCUCUCAGUUCGGAUCGAAGUCUGCAACCCGACUUCGUGAAGCUGGAUUCGCUAGUAAUCGCGCAUCAGCCAUGGCGCGGUGAAUACGUUCCCGGGCCUUGUACACACCGCCCGUCAAGCCAUGAAAGCCGGGGGUACCUGAAGUACGUAACCGCAAGGAGCGUCCUAGGGUAAAACUGGUAAUUGGGGCU
RNAcentral lists this ribosomal RNA (1433 nucleotides) under uncultured organism. RNAcentral describes it as "SSU rRNA". It matches the Rfam family "Bacterial small subunit ribosomal RNA". The record is from RNAcentral.